GUUUGAUGUUCUAACGUGGACCCGUUACCCGGGUUGCGGACAGUGUCUGGUGGGUAGUUUGACUGGGGCGGUCUCCUCCUAAAGAGUAACGGAGGAGCACGAAGGUUGGCUAAUCCUGGUCGGACAUCAGGAGGUUAGUGCAAUGGCAUAAGCCAGCUUGACUGCGAGCGUGACGGCGCGAGCAGGUGCGAAAGCAGGUCAUAGUGAUCCGGUGGUUCUGAAUGGAAGGGCCAUCGCUCAACGGAUAAAAGGUACUCCGGGGAUAACAGGCUGAUACCGCCCAAGAGUUCAUAUCGACGGCGGUGUUUGGCACCUCGAUGUCGGCUCAUCACAUCCUGGGGCUGAAGUAGGUCCCAAGGGUAUGGCUGUUCGCCAUUUAAAGUGGUACGCGAGCUGGGUUUAGAACGUCGUGAGACAGUUCGGUCCCUAUCUGCCGUGGGCGCUGGAGAACUGAGGGGGGCUGCUCCUAGUACGAGAGGACCGGAGUGGACGCAUCACUGGUGUUCGGGUUGUCAUGCCAAUGGCACUGCCCGGUAGCUAAAUGCGGAAGAGAUAAGUGCUGAAAGCAUCUAAGCACGAAACUUGCCCCGAGAUGAGUUCUCCCUGAGACUUAAAGUCUCCUGAAGGAACGUUGAAGACGACGACGUUGAUAGGCCGGGUGUGUAAGCGCAGCGAUGCGUUGAGCUAACCGGUACUAAUGAACCGUGAGGC
This 711-nucleotide ribosomal RNA is filed under the name Salmonella enterica. RNAcentral's name for it is "partial 23S ribosomal RNA". It matches the Rfam family "Bacterial large subunit ribosomal RNA", at positions 2212 to 2917 of the family's 2925-position model. The record is from RNAcentral. Lineage: Bacteria; Pseudomonadati; Pseudomonadota; Gammaproteobacteria; Enterobacterales; Enterobacteriaceae.